UGUAACCCAGACAACUAGAUAAUAUUAUACUAUUGUACAUGUAACCCAGACAACUAGAUUAUGUUAUACAUGUUGUGCUGCCAUCCUGUUAGAAGGUAACAGAUUAUUUUAUUACAAUGGUUAAAUUGGAUUUGCAUUGUGUUCAAUGGUGUUAUUUGCCCCCUAGUGGCGCUUUCUGGUACUUAGAAAGACAACGCAAACGGGAAGUUCAGAAUUUGUUUUGCACGCAUAGAAGCAGCUACAAACAACGCUACGGUGCAGGUCUUUCAAUGUAGUUAUUUCUUGUCACGCUUCAGCCUUGGAAAAAUAUUUGUUUUUUCACAACAUAAACGUUUGCAAUAUAUUCAUUCAAGAAAA
Oncorhynchus nerka (sockeye salmon) is the source of this 357-nucleotide long non-coding RNA. RefSeq lists it as uncharacterized. The transcript is spliced from 2 exons. The record is from RefSeq and is a predicted model, not a curated record. NCBI's taxonomy places the organism in Eukaryota, Metazoa, Chordata, Actinopteri, Salmoniformes, Salmonidae.